Long non-coding RNA from Drosophila ananassae, 573 nucleotides. RefSeq lists it as uncharacterized. The record is from RefSeq and is a predicted model, not a curated record. The transcript has 2 exons. Lineage: Eukaryota; Metazoa; Arthropoda; Insecta; Diptera; Drosophilidae.
CUUGACCAAUUCAAUUUCCACAGCCUUUUAAAAAAACACUGAUCGUUUAAAGCGUUGAUUAGUUUCUCUUUUGAUGUCAUGUCACCUGCAUUUUGUUUGUUUUUCUUAUUGACAGUUGGCCUGUCGUCAGAGUCAUUCAAAGAGAAAGCAAAGCUUUGCAAUCAGCUAGUUGCGGUAAUGCGUGAAAAGACCAUGUGCCAUCCUCUGCGAUCCAUAUGGGUUCUGAGAAACGGGAAAUGUAAGGAGGGCCUCAUGUGUGCCUCUGGAUUGUCGAAGAAGGAGUGCGAAAAAUACUGCCUUGUAAAAAUUAUACCCUCGAAUCCCAAACAUCGAGCAACUAAUCAUCGUUUUAAAACUCGCCAAAUGAACCUUUUUAAACCAAGUACUUGUGUGACUUCAAAGACUGUUGGUAUAACUGAUUGGACCAAAGGGCCAGGGGAGCAUAAUGAUCCUCCAUAUAAUUCAAUGGAAACAACUAUGAGAACCCGGAGGACUCGAAGGACCAGAAAGACCACCAGAUCCCCGUUCUAUUGCUAAAGUUUAAAGCCAAAUAAAGUAUAUUUUAAGACCUGA